CGGUGGAGCAUGUGGUUUAAUUCGAUGAUACGCGAGGAACCUUACCAGGGCUUAAAUGUAGUAUGACCGGUCUGGAAACAGACCUUCCCUUCGGGGCAGAUUACAAGGUGCUGCAUGGUUGUCGUCAGCUCGUGCCGUGAGGUGUUAGGUUAAGUCCUGCAACGAGCGCAACCCCUAUUCUUAGUUGCCAACGGUUCGGCCGGGGACUCUAAAAAGACUGCCAGCGCAAGCUGAGAGGAAGGUGGGGAUGACGUCAAAUCAUCACGGCCCCUACGUCCUGGGCUACACACGUGCUACAAUGGUAAAGACAGAGGGCAGCCCCCUGGCGACAGGGAGCGAAUCCUUAAACUCUAUCUCAGUUCAGAUCGGAGUCUGCAACCCGACUCCGUGAAGCUGGAAUCGCUAGUAAAAGCGCAUCAGCCAUGGCGCGGUGAAUACGUUUCCGGGCCUUG
This 452-nucleotide ribosomal RNA is filed under the name uncultured Bacteroidota bacterium. RNAcentral's name for it is "bacterial SSU rRNA". It matches the Rfam family "Bacterial small subunit ribosomal RNA", at positions 930 to 1383 of the family's 1533-position model. The record is from RNAcentral. Lineage: Bacteria; Pseudomonadati; Bacteroidota.